GACGAACGCUGGCGGCGUGCUUAACACAUGCAAGUCGAGCGGUAAGGCCCUUCGGGUACACGAGCGGCGAACGGGUGAGUAACACGUGGGUGACCUGCCUCUAGCUCUGGGAUAAGCCUGGGAAACUGGGUCUAAUACCGGAUAUGACUCCACGGCGCAUGUUGUGGGGUGGAAAGCCUUGUGUGGCUAGAGAUGGGGCCCGCGGCCUAUCAGCUUGUUGGUGGGGUGAUGGCCUACC
This 238-nucleotide ribosomal RNA is filed under the name uncultured bacterium. Its description in RNAcentral is "partial 16S ribosomal RNA". It matches the Rfam family "Bacterial small subunit ribosomal RNA", at positions 28 to 269 of the family's 1533-position model. The record is from RNAcentral.